RNAcentral lists this ribosomal RNA (213 nucleotides) under uncultured bacterium. RNAcentral's name for it is "partial 16S ribosomal RNA". It matches the Rfam family "Bacterial small subunit ribosomal RNA", at positions 119 to 334 of the family's 1533-position model. The record is from RNAcentral.
UGGGGAUCUGCCCAGUAGUGGGGAACAACUCCGAGAAAUCGGAGCUAAUACCGCAUACGAUCUAUGGAUGAAAGCGGGGGAUCGCAAGACCUCGCGCGAUUGGAGCGGCCGAUAUCAGAUUAGCUAGUUGGUGGGGUAAAAGCCUACCAAGGCGACGAUCUGUAGCUGGUCUGAGAGGACGACCAGCCACACUGGGACUGAGACACGGCCCAG